This 253-nucleotide ribosomal RNA is filed under the name uncultured bacterium. RNAcentral describes it as "partial 16S ribosomal RNA". It matches the Rfam family "Bacterial small subunit ribosomal RNA", at positions 524 to 776 of the family's 1533-position model. The record is from RNAcentral.
UACAGAGGGUGCGAGCGUUAAUCGGAAUUACUGGGCGUAAAGCGCGCGUAGGCGGCUUUGCAAGUCGGGUGUGAAAUCCCCAGGCUUAACCUGGGAACUGCAUUCGAGACUGCAUUGCUAGAGUAUGGGAGAGGGCAGUGGAAUUUCCGGUGUAGCGGUGAAAUGCGUAGAUAUCGGAAGAAACAUCAGUGGCGAAAGCGACUGCCUGGACCAAUACUGACGCUCAUGUGCGAAAGCGUGGGGAGCAAACAGG